UGGACGAAGUCUGACGGAGCAACGCCGCGUGAGUGAAGAAGGUUUUCGGAUCGUAAAGCUCUGUUGUUAGGGAAGAACAAGUACCGUUCGAAUAGGGCGGUACCUUGACGGUACCUAACCAGAAAGCCACGGCUAACUACGUGCCAGCAGCCGCGGUAAUACGUAGGUGGCAAGCGUUGUCCGGAAUUAUUGGGCGUAAAGCGCGCGCAGGUGGUUCCUUAAGUCUGAUGUGAAAGCCCACGGCUCAACCGUGGAGGGUCAUUGGAAACUGGGGAACUUGAGUGCAGAAAAGGAAAGUGGAAUUCCAAGUGUAGCGGUGAAAUGCGUAAAUAUUUGGAGGAACACCAGUGGCGAAGGCGACUUUCUGGUCUGUAACUGACACUGAGGCGCGAAAGCGUGGGGAGCAAACAGGAUUAAAUACCCUGGUAGUCCACGCCGUAAACGAUGAGUGCUAAGUGUUAGGGGGUUUCCGCCCCUUAGUGCUGCAGCUAACGCAUUAAGCACUCCGCCUGGGGAGUACGGUCGCAAGACUGAAACUCAAAGGAAUUGACGGGGGCCCGCACAAGCGGUGGAGCAUGUGGUUUAAUUCGAAGCAACGCGAAGAACCUUACCAGGUCUUGACAUCCUCUGACAACCCUAGAGAUAGGGCUUUCCCCUUCGGGGGACAGAGUGACAGGUGGUGCAUGGUUGUCGUCAGCUCGUGUCGUGAGAUGUUGGGUUAAGUCCCGCAACGAGCGCAACUCUUGAUCUUAGUUGCCAGCAUUCAGUUGGGCACUCUAAGAUGACUGCCGGUGACAAACCGGAGGAAGGUGGGGAUGACGUCAAAUCAUCAUGCCCCUUA
RNAcentral lists this ribosomal RNA (841 nucleotides) under uncultured Bacillus sp. RNAcentral describes it as "bacterial SSU rRNA". It matches the Rfam family "Bacterial small subunit ribosomal RNA", at positions 372 to 1204 of the family's 1533-position model. The record is from RNAcentral. Lineage: Bacteria; Bacillati; Bacillota; Bacilli; Caryophanales; Bacillaceae.